Small nucleolar RNA from Dipodomys ordii (Ord's kangaroo rat), 86 nucleotides. Ensembl annotates it as predicted gene, 25970. The record is from Ensembl. Lineage: Eukaryota; Metazoa; Chordata; Mammalia; Rodentia; Heteromyidae.
GGGCAACUAUGAUGACAAUUUCAUUCUGUAUGUAAUAUAUUUUGUUACUAAAUGAGGACAACAGUCCCUCUAAACUGAUGUUGCCA